GUUUUAAUGCAUGCUUAUGAGGAGUUUAAGCCAAUAAUAUUAAAAAGAAGCAAUACAGCUGCAUCGGCUAAAGCAAGAGAGUUGGCUUGGCAAAAAAUAACGGACAGAGUAAAUGCGUGUAAUCCUUCUGGAGCCACAAGAACUUUAAGCCAAGUCAAAAUGAAACACAAAAACAUUCUGCAAAAAGCUAACAGAAAGAAGACUGAAGCCCGUCUAACUGGCGGGGGGCCACCACCACCUCCCCUCACCCCAUCUGAGGAGCUGGCUCUGUCCCUUAAUAAAGGGCGACCAGUGGUUGCUGGCAUUCCAGGGGGCAGUUCAUCACACAUACUGUGCACCACAAGUGUUGGUGAGAA
This is a long non-coding RNA of Carassius gibelio (silver crucian carp), 356 nucleotides long. RefSeq lists it as uncharacterized. The record is from RefSeq and is a predicted model, not a curated record. Lineage: Eukaryota; Metazoa; Chordata; Actinopteri; Cypriniformes; Cyprinidae. The transcript is spliced from 3 exons.